UGCGUAGGUGGGCAGGUAAGUCAGUGGUGAAAUCUCCGGGCUUAACCCGGAAACUGCCGUUGAUACUAUCUGUCUUGAAUGUAGUGGAGGUGAGCGGAAUAUGUCAUGUAGCGGUGAAAUGCUUAGAUAUGACAUAGAACACCCAUUGCGAAGGCAGCUCGCUACACUAUUAUUGACACUGAGGCACGAAAGCGUGGGGAUCAAACA
Molecule: ribosomal RNA, 207 nt
Filed under: uncultured bacterium
Lineage: Bacteria
Description: partial 16S ribosomal RNA
Rfam family: Bacterial small subunit ribosomal RNA
Source: RNAcentral